UACGGCAAUAUCACAUGGAAGCGGUUCCCGUACGAUUACUGAAGUUAAAAUACGUCAGACCUGGUCAGUACUUGGAUGGGUAACCACUUGGGAAUAUCAAGGGCUGUAA
This is a non-coding RNA of Acanthosepion pharaonis, 109 nucleotides long. The record is from the annotation of a GenBank genome assembly. Lineage: Eukaryota; Metazoa; Mollusca; Cephalopoda; Sepiida; Sepiidae.